ACCCGCAUAGGUGACGAGUCGGGCCCAGAAACACGGAUCGGCAAGGCGUCGCAUCGUAUACUUCCCACGCUGUGUGUGCUCAAACGCUGUUCGACCACGGCAGCGUCUUCCAGGAAGCGGACCCCUGCCAGAUUCUUGUUCUGCCAUCGGACCUCGCUCGGAAAGCUGCCGACGCGAUCGAUCGUGAGCAACACCCACGAAUUGAUCGUCAGCCGCUCGUCGAUCCGGAUCUUGGCGCCACCGGGAGAAAUGUUGAGCGCUUU
Molecule: unclassified non-coding RNA, 263 nt
Filed under: uncultured fungus
Lineage: Eukaryota; Fungi
Description: sequence contains ITS1
Source: RNAcentral